RNAcentral lists this ribosomal RNA (1314 nucleotides) under bacterium EBAD32. RNAcentral's name for it is "bacterial LSU rRNA". It matches the Rfam family "Bacterial large subunit ribosomal RNA", at positions 1180 to 2490 of the family's 2925-position model. The record is from RNAcentral.
GCUAACGUAUCACCGAAGCUGUGGAUUGACACCGUAUGGUGUCGAUGGUAGGAGAGCGUUCUAAGGGCGUUGAAGUCAGACCGGAAGGACUGGUGGAGCGCUUAGAAGUGAGAAUGCCGGUAUGAGUAGCGAAAGAAGGGUGAGAAUCCCUUCCACCGAAUGCCUAAGGUUUCCUGAGGAAGGCUCGUCCGCUCAGGGUUAGUCGGGACCUAAGCCGAGGCCGAAAGGCGUAGGCGAUGGACAACAGGUUGAUAUUCCUGUACCACCUAUACAUCGUUUGAACGAUGGGGGGACGCAGAAGGAUAGGGUAAGCGCGCUGUUGGAUAUGCGCGUCCAAGCAGUUAGGCCGGAAACGAGGCAAAUCCCGUUUCCAUUAAGGCGGAGCUGUGAUGGCGAGGGAAAUAUAGUACCGAAGUUCCUGAUUCCACGCUGCCAAGAAAAGCCUCUAGUGAGAUGUAAGGUGCCCGUACCGCAAACCGACACAGGUAGGCGAGGAGAGAAUCCUAAGGUGUGCGAGAGAACUCUCGUUAAGGAACUCGGCAAAAUGACCCCGUAACUUCGGGAGAAGGGGUGCUUUUUAGGGUGAAUAGCCCAGAAAAGCCGCAGUGAAUAGGCCCAGGCGACUGUUUAGCAAAAACACAGGUCUCUGCGAAGCCGCAAGGCGAAGUAUAGGGGCUGACACCUGCCCGGUGCUGGAAGGUUAAGGGGAGAGGUUAGCGCAAGCGAAGCUUUGAACCGAAGCCCCAGUAAACGGCGGCCGUAACUAUAACGGUCCUAAGGUAGCGAAAUUCCUUGUCGGGUAAGUUCCGACCCGCACGAAAGGUGUAACGAUCUGGGCACUGUCUCAACGAGAGACUCGGUGAAAUUAUAGUACCUGUGAAGAUGCAGGUUACCCGCGACAGGACGGAAAGACCCCGUGGAGCUUUACUGCAGCCUGAUAUUGAAUUUUGGUACAGCUUGUACAGGAUAGGUAGGAGCCUGAGAAGCCGGAGCGCCAGCUUCGGUGGAGGCGUUGGUGGGAUACUACCCUGGCUGUAUUGAAAUUCUAACCCGCGCCCCUUAUCGGGGUGGGAGACAGUGUCAGGUGGGCAGUUUGACUGGGGCGGUCGCCUCCUAAAGAGUAACGGAGGCGCCCAAAGGUUCCCUCAGAAUGGUUGGAAAUCAUUCGUAGAGUGUAAAGGCACAAGGGAGCUUGACUGCGAGACCUACAAGUCGAGCAGGGACGAAAGUCGGGCUUAGUGAUCCGGUGGUUCCGCAUGGAAGGGCCAUCGCUCAACGGAUAAAAGCUACCCCGGGGAUAACAGGCUAUCUCCC